CGGAGCCGGCCCGAGGAGGAGGAGGAUCCUAGGACCCAGAUGUUGAUGUGCCGCAUAGCCUUGAAAGUCUUUGUACAUUGCUUAUGUGUAUGAAAGGGGUAUGAAUGUGUCGAGAGAAGAUGCAAAGUUAUUUCUCAGAACCAAAUGGCCAAAGAAGGAGGGGGAGCAAGCGUGGGCAAAGACUAGACAGCCUGGCAUCAAAAUACGUACCCCUACUCACAAGGUGAUUGAAUACUGGCAGAUUGACGGCUUUAAAGUGAAGUGAGCACCCCGAAAAGACGAUUGAUUACAGGAUGAGCCUCGGAGAAUGUUUUGGGAACACUGACAUCAAAAGAUAAUGCUCUGGUCACAGGCUGACACAGCAGAAUACAUUGAUUUUCAACAGGAAAAAGGAUUAUAAAAGCAGAGUGCUUUGCAAUGGAACUUUGGGUUCAUCUUGCCAACGCCAAAUCCAGAGGAGCACUGGAUCAAUCGACCGACAAAGGCCCUGCUCCCCCCUGUGUUUAAUCUAGCUGGCCACUAGAUUGAUACAGAAUCUGGACUGGUAAAUACGACAUUGUCUGGCAGGACUGUGUAUGCAAGAUGUUUUGUGUGUGUGUGAUUGAAAAGCAUAUGCAACUGUUAUAUUCUCAAUAAAUGCGGCGUACUGCCUUUUUCCCUAUAAAAGA
Non-coding RNA from Pelodiscus sinensis (Chinese soft-shelled turtle), 668 nucleotides. NCBI's taxonomy places the organism in Eukaryota, Metazoa, Chordata, Testudines, Trionychidae. The record is from RefSeq and is a predicted model, not a curated record.